RNAcentral lists this unclassified non-coding RNA (379 nucleotides) under uncultured bacterium. RNAcentral's name for it is "contains 16S-23S intergenic spacer region". The record is from RNAcentral.
UCUCGGCUUAUCACCGGCAGUCCCCCUAGAGUGCCCAACUGAAUGAUGGCAACUAAGGGCGAGGGUUGCGCUCGUUGCGGGACUUAACCCAACAUCUCACGACACGAGCUGACGACAACCAUGCACCACCUGUAAACCGGCCACAAGUGGCUGACGCAUCUCUGCGCCAUUCCGAUUCAUGUCAAACCCAGGUAAGGUUCUUCGCGUUGCAUCGAAUUAAUCCACAUGCUCCGCCGCUUGUGCGGGCACCCGUCAAUUCCUUUGAGUUUUAGCCUUGCGGCCGUAGUCCCCAGGCGGUGUACUCACUGCGUAAGCUAAGGCACCGAGCAGCGCAAUCACUGCCCAGCGCCGGGUACACAUCGUUUACGGCGUGGACUAC